RNAcentral lists this long non-coding RNA (1785 nucleotides) under Mus musculus (house mouse). Its description in RNAcentral is "predicted gene, 48551 (Gm48551)". Lineage: Eukaryota; Metazoa; Chordata; Mammalia; Rodentia; Muridae. The record is from RNAcentral.
GUCACGUGGCCAUCAAGAUGGCGGCGUCCAGAGGACGUCGCGCGAGAUGCGUCCGCGGACCUGUUCUUGGAGCUGUCGCAGCGACUCUCUCCAUCUGUCCCGAGUAUACGGAGCUUAUUGACGAGUCCCUGUAGACGAAAACACGGUUUCUACUGCCUAGAAUCCGGCCUUGCAGAUCACGUGCUGGGGAGGCCGUUGCCAUGGUAACGGAGCAAGAGAUAGAGGCCAUAGGGAAGACCUUGGUGGACCCCAAGCAGCCCCUGCAGGCCCGCUUCCGGGCCCUGUUUACACUUCGGGGGCUUGGUGGCCCUGAUGCUAUCUCGUGGAUCAGCCGGGGCUUUGAGGACAGCUCUGCUCUUCUGAAGCACGAGCUGGCCUACUGCCUGGGCCAGAUGAGGGACGCACGGGCCAUCCCUGUGCUGGCGGAUGUGCUGCAGGACACGAGCCAGGAGCCCAUGGUGCGUCAUGAGGCAGGGGAAGCCCUGGGGGCGAUUGGUAACCCGGAAGUUCUAGGCCUCCUGAAGCAGUAUUCUACGGACCCAGUGGUUGAGGUGGCUGAAACGUGCCAGCUCGCCGUUGGUCGUCUAGAGUGGCUACAGCAGCACCCGGGGGAGGCCACAUGUGCAGGACCCUACCUCUCAGUGGACCCAGCACCCCCUGCAGCAGAGCAGGAUGUGGGGAGGCUGCGGGAGGCCCUGCUGGAUGAGGCACGGCCACUCUUUGAGCGAUACCGUGCCAUGUUUGCCCUGCGCAACGUGGGUGGCAAGGAGGCUGCCUUGGCCCUGGCUGAAGGCUCCUGCUGAAGGUGUCUCAGCCAUGGCAGGGUCAGUGGAUGAAAAAGAGGCCGAGGACUGGAGCCCAGCCCCUCCGAUGUAUGAGGAAUACCGGCCACCCGCGCUGGAUGCCAUCCGCCUGCCUCGCUAUGCCCUGUAUCUGCUGAUGGCCGCUAUCCUGGUGGUGGCCGUGGCCUAUGCCAUUGUUGGCCACCUCAUCAAAGAUCUAGCUCAUGACCUGGCUGACUGGGCCUUUGGCCCUAAGCCUGACCAGGAGGAGGAAGGUUCCCGGGAGCUGCGGGCCAGCUUGGCUGCAGAGGACCUGGAAGAACUAGAUCUUCAGCUGGCCCUGGCCUGGCGUGGGGAGGAUGACCCUGCCCGUGCUCCUCGCCGCACCUCCAUUGCCUUCAAGGACCCGCCGGUGCAAACCAACUUUUGGAGGCUGGACUGACCUGGAGGAGUGGCAUGUGUGACACUGGUGGGCCUGGCAGUUCCCUCUGCCUCAGUUGGACCACCUGUGUAUGUGACAACAUAGGGUUUGGCCAGGCUGAAACUCAAAACUCCCCUCCUGGGCUGGAGUGCUCUGAUUGCAGACUCCACUUACACUUUAUUGACUUGGAGACAGGUUCUCCAUGUAGCCUAGGCAAGCCUUGAACUUGAUACAUAGCAGAGGACAACCUUGAACUCCUGAUCCUCCAGUCACCAUCUCCUGAACGCUGGGAUGACAGAUCUGGGCUUCUGUGAUACUGAGGAGAGCCCAGGGUCUCCUCCAAGGCUGUGCCAGCCCGAGGCCCUGACAGCUUCCUUUCUUCCUUCCUUCCUUUCUUUCCCUCUUUCUUUCUCUUUUGGUUUUUCAAGACAGGGUUUCUCUGCGUAACAGCCCUGGCUGUCCUGGAACUCAGAGCCAUCACCUGCAACAUUUUUUCCUAUGGAUAAUUCCUUACACAGUGUUUGCUGAGAGGAGAAAAGAGUGAGGCCAAAUUCACAUAUAAAUUAAAAGCCUAUCUGACUA